GACGAACGCUGGCGGCGUGCUUAACACAUGCAAGUCGAACGGAAAGGCCCUGCUUUUGUGGGGUGCUCGAGUGGCGAACGGGUGAGUAACACGUGAGUAACCUGCCCUUGACUUUGGGAUAACUUCAGGAAACUGGGGCUAAUACCGGAUAGGAGCUCCUGCUGCAUGGUGGGGGUUGGAAAGUUUCGGCGGUUGGGGAUGGACUCGCGGCUUAUCAGCUUGUUGGUGGGGUAGUGGCUUACCAAGGCUUUGACGGGUAGCCGGCCUGAGAGGGUGACCGGCCACAUUGGGACUGGGAUACGGCCCAGACUCCAACGGGGGGCAGCAGUGGGGAAUAUUGCACAAUGGGCGGAAGCCUGAUGCAGCAACGCCGCGUGCGGGAUGACGGCCUUCGGGUUGUAAACCGCUUUCGCCUGUGACGAAGCGUGAGUGACGGUAAUGAGUAAAGAAGCACCGGCUAACUACGUG
This 468-nucleotide ribosomal RNA is filed under the name uncultured bacterium. RNAcentral describes it as "partial 16S ribosomal RNA". It matches the Rfam family "Bacterial small subunit ribosomal RNA", at positions 28 to 507 of the family's 1533-position model. The record is from RNAcentral.